Molecule: long non-coding RNA, 744 nt
Organism: Lycium barbarum (goji berry)
Lineage: Eukaryota; Viridiplantae; Streptophyta; Magnoliopsida; Solanales; Solanaceae
Exons: 3
Source: RefSeq, a predicted model, not a curated record
UCGGUAAAUUUAAUAAAAAUCUAAACCCUCCUUCUUCUUUUACCUCAUUUUUACUUUUGUCACUCUUAAAAAUCUAAACCCCCGUCUCUCUCUCUUUCCCUUUCUCCACCGCCCUACCCUCGCCCACAUCGCCGCUAGCCAGAUCCGUCGCCACCCAGCCAGGUCCGGCAUCCAGUAUGCCGUCGCCAAUAUCUAUUCCAGGAUCCAUUAAAAGAAACUCCAGAUAAUGACAGCCAAUCACCGGAAGUAACCUCAAAAGCUGCAACUAUUGGGCAUGAAGCCAAGGAAAGUCCAAAGUAGCUGAUAGAGAAGUUAUUAGUUGCUCUAGUUAAUGUUAGUGCAAAAGAAGACUUAGUUAAGCAGCAUGCUAAAGUGGCAGAAGAAGCCGUUGCAGGUUGGGAAAAGUCAGAAAAUGAGGUUGCAGUUCUAAAGCAGCAACUUGAGGCAGCUAAGCAGCAGAACUUGACUUUGGAUGUUCGCAUCAACCAUCUUGAUGUUUACGAGGGGUGAAGUAGUCUAAUGUUGUAGACUAACUUAAUGUAGACUAGUUUAAUGUUUUGUGGAUGUUUACAAAUGUUGAAGUAGUUUAAUGUUGUUUUGAUGUUUGCAAAGGUUGAAGUAGCUUAAGUCUCUUGUGAAUGUUUGAUUGAUGUUUUUAUUCAACUUUGAAGUAGUUUCAAAUUGAAUUUGAUGUAUUGGUGGUUGUAGUAUAUGUGUUGUAAUAGUAGUUUAAUGUUUUAUGUA